UGAGGGAAUAUUGGGUCAAUGGGCGAGAGCCUGAACCAGCCAAGUAGCGUGCAGGACGACGGCCCUAUGGGUUGUAAACUGCUUUUAUAGGGGGAUAAAGUGUGCCACGUGUGGCAUAUUGCAGGUACCCUAUGAAUAAGGACCGGCUAAUUCCGUGCCAGCAGCCGCGGUAAUACGGAAGGUCCGGGCGUUAUCCGGAUUUAUUGGGUUUAAAGGGAGCGUAGGCCGUCUUAUAAGCGUGUUGUGAAAUGUCGGGGCUCAACCUGGGCAUUGCAGCGCGAACUGUGAGACUUGAGUGCGCAGGAAGUAGGCGGAAUUCGUCG
This 323-nucleotide ribosomal RNA is filed under the name uncultured Prevotella sp. Its description in RNAcentral is "bacterial SSU rRNA". It matches the Rfam family "Bacterial small subunit ribosomal RNA", at positions 354 to 673 of the family's 1533-position model. The record is from RNAcentral. Lineage: Bacteria; Pseudomonadati; Bacteroidota; Bacteroidia; Bacteroidales; Prevotellaceae.